AAGUACAGCCAUACUAUCCUGAAAGCACCCGAUCUCAUCUGAUCUUAGAAGCUAAGCAGGAGUAGGCCUGGUUAGUUCUUGGAUGGGAGAAAAAGGGGAAUUAGUAAUAU
Molecule: ribosomal RNA, 110 nt
Filed under: Heterocephalus glaber (naked mole-rat)
Lineage: Eukaryota; Metazoa; Chordata; Mammalia; Rodentia; Bathyergidae
Source: RNAcentral